AGUGAACGCUGGCGGUAGGCCUAACACAUGCAAGUCGAACGGCAGCACAGUAAGAGCUUGCUCUUACGGGUGGCGAGUGGCGGACGGGUGAGGAAUACAUCGGAAUCUACUUUUUCGUGGGGGAUAACGUAGGGAAACUUACGCUAAUACCGCAUACGACCUACGGGUGAAAGCAGGGGAUCGUCGGACCUUGCGCGAUUGAAUGAGCCGAUGUCGGAUUAGCUAGUUGGCGGGGUAAAGGCCCACCAAGGCGACGAUCCGUAGCUGGUCUGAGAGGAUGAUCAGCCACACUGGAACUGAGACACGGUCCAGACUCCUACGGGAGGCAGCAGUGGGGAAUAUUGGACAAUGGGCGAAAGCCUGAUCCAGCCAUACCGCGUGGGUGAAGAAGGCCUUCGGGUUGUAAAGCCCUUUUGUUGGGAAAGAAAAGCAGCAGGUUAAUACCCCGCUGUUCUGACGGUACCCAAAGAAUAAGCACCGGCUAACUUCGUG
RNAcentral lists this ribosomal RNA (492 nucleotides) under uncultured bacterium. RNAcentral's name for it is "partial 16S ribosomal RNA". It matches the Rfam family "Bacterial small subunit ribosomal RNA", at positions 29 to 507 of the family's 1533-position model. The record is from RNAcentral.